GACGAACGCUGGCGGCGUGCUUAACACAUGCAAGUCGAACGGAAAGGCCCUGCUUUUGUGGGGUGCUCGAGUGGCGAACGGGUGAGUAACACGUGAGUAACCUGCCCUUGACUUUGGGAUAACUUCAGGAAACUGGGGCUAAUACCGGAUAGGAGCUCCUGCUGCAUGGUGGGGGUUGGAAAGUUUCGGCGGUUGGGGAUGGACUCGCGGCUUAUCAGCUUGUUGGUGGGGUAGUUGCUUACCAAGGCUUUGACGGGUAGCCGGCCUGAGAGGGUGAACGGCCACAUUGGGACUGAGAUACGGCGCAGACUCCUACGGGAGGCAGCAGUGGGGAAUAUUGCACAAUGGGCGGAAGCCUGAUGCAGAAACGCCGCGUGCGGGAUGACGGCCUUCGGGUUGUAAACCGCUUUCGCCUGUGACGAAGCGUGAGUGACGGUAAUGGGUAAAGAAGCACCGGCUAACUACGUG
This 468-nucleotide ribosomal RNA is filed under the name uncultured bacterium. Its description in RNAcentral is "partial 16S ribosomal RNA". It matches the Rfam family "Bacterial small subunit ribosomal RNA", at positions 28 to 507 of the family's 1533-position model. The record is from RNAcentral.